Non-coding RNA from Pelobates cultripes (western spadefoot toad), 346 nucleotides. The record is from the annotation of a GenBank genome assembly. Lineage: Eukaryota; Metazoa; Chordata; Amphibia; Anura; Pelobatidae.
UCUGAAGUUUCAAUUAUCUGUUAUUUAGGAGAUAAAUCACUUUUGUUUCUGGUUAUGCACCCCUAGCCACAUUUUCCCUGGUAGUGACACACAACCUGUAUGAAAAAAAUGAUUUCAAUUAGACAUGUGCAAUUAAUUUCGGUCUGAAUUUCGGCAAUUCAGACAUUCUGAUGCUUCCAAAUGUCUGAAGUGCCGAACCGAAUUUCCAAAGUGCUUCGAAUUUCUGAAAAGUGGCAAAACAGGAGAGGGAGGUAAAAUUAAGGGAAAGCCCUAAACUAGAUGGAAGGUUGGGGUUAUGGGAUAGUUAAGGUUAAAGGUCCCAAGUUUCGGAAGUGCCGAACUGAAU